This 460-nucleotide ribosomal RNA is filed under the name uncultured bacterium. RNAcentral describes it as "partial 16S ribosomal RNA". It matches the Rfam family "Bacterial small subunit ribosomal RNA", at positions 338 to 795 of the family's 1533-position model. The record is from RNAcentral.
CCUACGGGUGGCAGCAGUGAGGAAUAUUGGUCAAUGGACGAGAGUCUGAACCAGCCAAGUAGCGUGAAGGAUGACUGCCCUAUGGGUUGUAAACUUCUUUUAUAUGGGAAUAAAAUGUUCCACGUGUGGGAUUUUGUAUGUACCAUAUGAAUAAGGAUCGGCUAAAUCCGGGCCAGCAGCCGCGGUAAUACGGAGGAUCCGAGCGUUAUCCGGGUUUAUUGGGUUUAAAGGGGGGGGAGGGGGAUUGGUAAGUCAGUUGGGAAAGUUUGCGGGUCAACCGUAAUAGUGCAGUUGAAACUGGCAGUCUUGAGUACAGGAGAGGUGGGCGGAAUGCGUGGUGUAGCGGUGAAAUGCUUAGAUAUCACGCAGAACUCCGAUUGCGAAGGCAGCUCACUGGACUGCGACUGACACUGAGGCUCGAAAGUGUGGGGAUCAAACAGGAUUAGAUACCCUUGUAGUC